Long non-coding RNA from Diabrotica virgifera virgifera (western corn rootworm), 5687 nucleotides. RefSeq lists it as uncharacterized. The record is from RefSeq and is a predicted model, not a curated record. Lineage: Eukaryota; Metazoa; Arthropoda; Insecta; Coleoptera; Chrysomelidae. The transcript is spliced from 4 exons.
UUAGAAGGUAGAAAUUUGAUUAGAGUCUUUCUUUAUUAUUUCCACAAUAUAAUGUGGUUAUUUCCACUCUGAAAUCCAGCUUAUAUUCUUGUAGAGAGUAAAAGAUUGUUGAUAUUUAGAUAUAAAAAUUACCUUUAACUUCAUGGGGGUUGAACAUUAUCUGAAGGAAGGAAUAAUUUAGUAAAACAAUCAUUUCAAAUUUUGAUAUCUAUGUAUUGAAUUUAAUGGGUUGUGGCAUUGUGUUGUGGUUUAUUACACCACAAAAAUAAUGAAAUAUAACAAGACACAAGAAAUAGUUUCAGAAUAGUUUGAUGUAUUGUUUAUGUUUCAUUAUAUUCAAUAAGAGACUAAUUUAACUCAUAAAUUAAACUGAAAAAUAAACCACAAGAAUAUGUAGAUACUUAUAAGCUCAUUUAGAUAGAAGAAAUUAAGUAAAAACAGAGUACAAUUUAUUGUAAUACAUACUACCGUAAUAGAUAAUUAUCGAAUAUCGAAUGAAAAUAAUACUAGAAAAGGUACCUACUUAUUUAUAAACAUACGAAAUGGAAAACAUUGACAAAAACAACUAAAAAAGCUUUAAUAUAAAAAAUAUUAAAAUUUGUUUGAAGAAUAUUUAAAUGAUACAACACUUCCAAAACUUUAAAAACCAGAAUAUACAUCUACCUACAAGCUGUUUAACAAAACAAUAUUUUAGGUUAAGAAUUGGAAGUGGAAGGAGUAAGAACAGAAUGUCGAGAAAUUCUUCCCAAAUAUUUUGUGCGCCUGUGCGAACUUAAAAUCCGAAACAAAAUCCUCGAACGUCGAGAGGGUAUUCCGGACACGUUCAGGAUCUUUUUUCUGUACUGCGCGAACACCGAAUUAAAAAUCCGGAGGGUGUUCAGAGGGAAAGAUUUGGACUCCGCGAACGCCCAAUUUUGUAAUGCGCAGGCGUUCUCCCUCUGGGUAUACCCAGGACGUACUGCGCGAUCAAAGCUAAUAACAAAUUUGCCACUUGUUUUCGUUCUUACCUAUCUGUUCGAUUUUUUAUUCUAUGAGCAAUAGUUUCAUGCAAAUAGUGAACAGCACAGCAUCUUAGAUAUCCAAAAUCUUUGCAAAAAUUCAUUAUCAUUCCAUUUUUCAAAAUGAUUUUCUCUAGCCCUACACUGUUUUCUGUGUUCUCCUUCCUUCUACAAUAUUUAUCAUUUACAGAAAAUCUUCAUUACUAGUUAAAAUUUUCAGUGAGGUUCAUUUUAAGGUGUAAAUAUUAUGAUUUCCGUUGACAAUGACAAAAAUGUGAGGUUAAAAAUCCUUGAACCAGCGUUAAACUGCCGAACAUCGACCGCUCAGCUGAACCCGGGCUUAAACCGAGUUCAAGUUCAAGAAUUAAACUUUGUAUGUACAACGCACUUCUUGCCCUGAACUCGGUAAUGGCGCUGAGCCGGAGUUGAACUUCGAUUGUACAACCGGGCCUAAAUGUCCAGCAAACGACGGCAAUGUUGCCAGAUUCCUUUUAGCGGGAAUUUUAAAAUGGUUUUAAAUUUGACAGUUCUGUUUUCUCAAGUCAAAGUCAAAAAUCUUAACCUUACUUUUACAAGUGAUUAGGAUUAUUAUUAUUUUAUUUACAUGUAAAUUGAAACAAUAAAUAUUGUGCUGUGUCAUAAUUUCAAACUCAUUAUGUUGCAGUCUUUUCCAGUUGAUAAAAUUGCAAUUCAAAAACUUUAGAUUUGCACUGUAUGGAUGAUGGCACAGGAAGAGAACAAGAGUACAAGAACAUGAAACAUCUUAUUAUGAAUGUAUAUGUAUGUGAUCCUCAAAAAAUUAUUUUACAAAACAAGAUAGAGAAAGAGCUUUAAAAUCCCAAGGAUCCUGCAAUUUUUAUUUGGUGUACUAGUCGAAUAAUAGUAUCUAAAAAUAUUGAAACUAUUUUAAAACAUAUUACGGACACGAGGAUGAUAUAGAGCACUUACAUAAAUACCAAAAUCAGAUAAAUAUCUCUUCAAAGUUUAUUUUGAGACUUUCUUCAAAAAUGUAAGUAAAAUAUUUGCAUAUCGAUGGCGGAAAAGUAGUAACUGAAAAAAUUUUAUAACAUGAGUUACUUCAGUUUUCGCUUUAGAAUAAGUGUAUCGGCAGCUAUUAAACAGCGAUUACAGCUGGGAAAGUUUCCGGAAGGCUUCCAAAAGGCUUUCCCAGCUCUAAAAGCUGUUUAAUAGGUGCUGAUACACUUAUUAUAAAGCGAAAACCGAAGUAACUCAUUUUAUACAAAUUUUUCAGUUAUGAGGUCCUGCCUUUCCGCCGUCGAUAUACACAAUAUAAUUUAAAACAAGAAUGUUACCACUAAACCACUUUUUUAAAUAUUACUCAUGAAUAUUUAGUACAGUUUACAAAUUCAAACUAGUGUGUUUGAUUCUCCUAUACCUAUAUUUUACUUUUUUAGUAAACUUCAGACUGUUCAGGAUAGCAUAAUAGCAUAGGAGGCGAAUUAAAAAGAAUUAACUUACUUACAAGAAAAGAUAUCACAAACAUUAGACUCUCUUAUGGCAUUGAUUUGAAAGAUGGGUAUAUGUACAAUGACGAUGCAACCAGUGUUUAUUUUUGGGUUGAAUGCUUACAGACUCAUGUCCAAUAUUAUUUUACAAACAACAGGGCAUACUAAUGGAUAUUCAUUCUGAAUUUAACAUUUAUGAUUUUUGUCUUAUUUUCCUUAAUACUGUGCCAAAAGGAAAUGUUAAUUAAGUUUGGUAAAUCCUUUAUCGCAAUUGAUGGAACUCAUGGGCUCAAUUCCUAUGACUUUGAACUUAUGACAGUAUUAGUAAAAGAUGAAUUUGGGAAUGGAUUUUGUACUGCUUUCUUAUUUUCAAAUAGAAAAGAUACCUACUUUAAUUUACCAAUUUUUUUAAAUACAUGUCUGUGUUGGUAUUAUAUGUAUAGUCAAAUGUUUUCAUAUCGGGCAUAAGUGACACCUUUUACAAUGCCUCGUCAAAUGUAAUGGGUAUUGCUCCUAAUAGACUGUUAAGUGCCUGGCACAUAAAUAGGGCAUGGUAAGUAAAUCUUGAAUAAAAUAUCUGAUUCUGAAAAAAAUCCUAUUAUGUAUACAAGAUGUAUUAAUGAUGGUUUAGAGAGUAUUAAUAGCUUUUUGGGUAGACUUCUAAGUGAUGCAGAUACAUACAAUUUUAGUAAGUAUUUCCAGUAGAACUACUGCAAUAACAUCCAACAAUGGGCGUAUUGUUAUAGGAAGGGGUUGUGGAAUUAAUACCAAUAUGACCAUUCAAAAUUUUCAUAAAAUUUUGGAUAAAAGGGUAUCCAUUAGUUGUUAUCAGUUAAGUUUAAAACUUGGCACUCAUGGAGAGCUAUACCAUAAUAUAUAAUAGGUAUAUCUCAUAAUAUUACAUCUCAUAUUGCUCACUCAUUACAAUAGUGAGCAAUAUGAGAUAUAACAUAUUAUAGUAUAAGUCUCUGUGCAUGACCAGAUUAACAUGUUUGGUGCCCAUCUCGAACAAGCUCCACUUGGCUGGUACCACAUACUUAAAUCAUUUAUUUAGUUACACAGUACUACUCACAUAACUUAUGUGUCGUCAGUACCUUCCGUAAAACCUUCGUGAUGCUACCCAUACGUCAUGGCCACUGAAUGUGUUAAAGCUUGUUAAUGUAGGAGAGUUAUACUAAAAUAUAUAUCUUAUAUUAUAUUGCCUUAAAUAGAAAAAAUAUCUUAUUUAAAUUGUAUCCAUGUAAGUUUUGAUUUAAUGAAAUAAACCUUUUAAUCAAAAAAGUGUUGUUUACUUGUGUACACCCAGCAAUAUCCUGAUCAUAGAUAAAUAAUAAUAUAGUAUUACCAGAUCCUGAUAUGCAGACGCCAAUAGGGCUUUUCAUUGAUUGUCAUUUGUUUCGAGCUUCUGUCAUGAGUCACAUAAUAUUAAUGUAUCUACGUCAUACAUCUUUGGUUUGUAUCAUUGGUAUAUACCAAUAAUGUACGACGUAGAUAUAUUAAUAUUAUGUGACACAUGACAUAAGCUCGAAACAAAUGACUGAAUGAAAUGCCCUAUUGAAUAGGGCUUUUCAUCGAUUGUCAUUUGUUUCGAGCUUCGGUCAAGUGUCACAUAAUAUUAAUAUAUCUACAUCAUAUGUCUUUGGUUUGUAUCAUUGGCAAUAUCAAUAACAUAUGACAUAGAUAUAUUAAUGUUAGACAACACAUGACAGAAGCUCGAAACAAAUGACUGAGUGAAAAGCCCUAUAUCAUGUAAAUACAAGUGAUAAAGAUGUCUUUCUACGGCUAAAAUUGCACAGCCUAAAGACAUCAUUUAUGUAACUUCUUAAGCUGUCACAAAAUGACUGCAAUAAGAAAAUAGAAUUUAUUAACUCGCCUCGCCCCCAGGCAAAGUAAAGGUGCUAGGCCACUAAGAAUGUUUUUUUCAAUUUUUUUUUAUUUUGCGGCUUUAGCGCUUAGCUAUUUAGCCAGGUACAUGAUGAGAAUUAAUACUAUUAUAAUACAUAUUAAAACUAAUUCAAAUUACUAGUAAUUUUAUUAAUAUUCUGAAUAAUUAUGUAACCACUUAAUACUAAAAUAAAAAAGUGUCCAUCUAUACUAUCCCAACAUUUUCACCUUUGAAAUCGUAAAUUUCCAUUCCCAUUAAAAAAUAAUUUGUACUGUAUAAGUAUAUUUCUUUUGAGCUUCAUUUUUUUUUCAAAAUACUGCAACACGAGUUUUAAAUUAUGACACAGUACAAUACUUGUUUCAAUAUUUACAUGUAAAUAAAAUAAUCCUAAUUACUUGUAAAAGUAAGGUUAUAAAUUUAAGAAUACCAGAACUCUCUUUUAAAACCAAAGUGUCAUUAGACUAAUUUUAAAAUUCCCGCUAAAAGGAAAAAGGUAAAUCUGGCAACAGUGCCGUCGUUUGCUGGGAGAGAUUAAAUAUCCAGCACGCAACCGCACUGUUGCCAGAUUUACAUCUUUAGCGGGAAGUUUAAAAUUUGACAGUUGGGUUUUCUCGAAUCCGAAUCUUAACCUUACUUUUACAGGUGAUUAUGUGUAUGUAAAUAAACAAGUCUUGUUUGUAUAUUAUACUGUUAUUAUUUAAAACUCUAAAUAAUUUAUGUUAGUCUUUUAACAAAAAUGAAGCUCAAAAAACUACACUUGUUUACAUUGCAAAUGAUUUUUUAAUGGCAAUAGGGAUUUAGGAUUUCAUUUGCAGGAAAAACAUGGGCAACAUACCCAGUUGGUAAAAUUGCAAUUCAAAAACUCUUUAGAUUUUACUGUCUGGAUGGCACAGGAAGAGAAACAAAAUAAUGUUCUGUACUGCAGUCACAGGAGUACAUAGUAGAGAUAUAAUAAAAAAGCUGUUCAACAUCACCGGACACCAUUUAAUUUUUAGAAAAUGAAAAGUCUUCAGGUUGAAUGCGAUCUGUAGUAUUGCUACAUAAUGAAUGUGUUUACAUAUGGUAUUUUUUAUCGAAUAAUCUAUACAGGCACAACUAAAUGAAUGUAUACAUAUAUUGCAGAAAGUGCAUUUAAUGGAGCAGCAAGUUUUUUUGUGUUUCAAUGAGGUAUUCAGUUUUUUCUUCUUCUAGUAUAUACACAUUAUCUUGUAAAAUUGUAAAAAAGCAAGCUAAUACAGUUCAAUAUCUAGACAUUAUAGAGCUUUCAACAGGUUUACCUUUUUUAAGCUUUAUAAUCCUUUCGACAGUUUUAUUUCUUAAAUAAACAAUAACAACCGA